GGAGAGAUGGCAGAGCGGUCGAUUGCGGCGGUCUUGAAAACCGUUGAGGUGCGAGCCUCCGGGGGUUCGAAUCCCUCUCUCCGCCA
This 86-nucleotide transfer RNA is filed under the name Bacteroidota bacterium. RNAcentral's name for it is "Bacteroidetes bacterium (activated sludge metagenome) tRNA-Ser". It matches the Rfam family "tRNA". Rfam says of the family: Transfer RNA (tRNA) molecules are approximately 80 nucleotides in length. Their secondary structure includes four short double-helical elements and three loops (D, anti-codon, and T loops). Lineage: Bacteria; Pseudomonadati; Bacteroidota. The record is from RNAcentral.